UUUGAGUAGCCUCCAUGUUUUCCAGAGUGGCCGCACCAGUUUGCAUUCCCACCAACAGUGUAAGAGGGUCCCCACGGAUUGUUACCAGUAGUCUCUUAACUGUUUUUUAUGCCUCCUGUUUGGACCCCUCCAGUCAUUCUUCUCAUUGCAAGCAAAAUGAUAUUUAGGAAACAAAAGCUGAUCAUGUCAUUCUCUUACUAACAGUUUUUCAGUUGAUUUCCCAUUGUCUUCAGACAAUGAGGUACGACUCCUUAACAUAUUUCAAAAGACCCUUCAUUAAUGUCAUCUCUUGCUAUCUCUCUCUGGUACACUGCUUAGCCAUAGUGAAACAUAGUCUUUUUUUCCUCUUCUCAAUCUAUUAAAGUACCUCUCACUGCUCAUCUUAAGGCCUUCCCCUUGCUUAGACCAUUCAUUCUGCAUUCCUUUGCCUUAUUCUGAGUAAGGCUUAGGGAGCCCACCUCCUCCCUCCUCAGGGUGCCACAGUAUAGCACCCUCGUUCACAUUCCCACAGAACCCAGUUUUCUCAGUGUAGCACUUUGAUUUUACUGUGUUGCAUUUUUAAAUGUUAUUUUAUCUAUUCCCUACUAGGUUAUAAGUUGUUUUACUUUCACCUUUUAAUCCCCAGAAAUAGCAAAUACCUUACCUAAUAAAUAAUAAAUAUUUGUGGAUGAUCUUGUACUCCCGAUACCAUUGCCUACCUUAUAAUAAGCUCCUUAUUAAUCUGGCUACUGACUGUUCCAUCAUUGCAUAGAUUUCAUCCUGAUGUUCAUGAAAGCUUAUCAGCAAUCACUCACUGAGUUGUAUUAUGCCGCAGACCCUGUAGCAGUCAUCUAUAUGAAAUCUCAGUUGCUUUUCCUUAGGUAUAAGGACCGCAGUGUCCUCCAUGAAGUAGAGUGUCCAAGCAUUCUAUCACUACAGGGAUUCCAUAAUCUAAUUUUGAAAAAAUAAAGUGUAGAUAUCGAAACUUCUGUAGAUGAAUGAAAUCUCAGAGAUAGAGCCUAGGAUAGCUCAGAAAGGGCCAUUUCCCACAAAGUUUCCAAUAAAACAUAUUUUAAUGACUCAAAAAUAAUCUGGAAUUCUUUGUUUAGGAAACCCGCCUUGUAGAGUGACAGUUUCAUAAUUUCCACAGCUGUAUGAGCUGCUAAGUGUUCAUUGAAUAUACUUCCCAUCUCCCACCAUGUUCUGGAGAUUUGGAGAUUUGAAGAGACAGGGGGAGAGGGAUGUCUUCUCUGUCCUCAGGGAGAACCACAUCUUCUUAGGGAGGUAACAUACUUCUUCAUUAAUCAGUGAAGGUAUAAGGCAGCUAAAAGCAUGGUACUUGCUUCAUUUAAAUACCUGGGUUUCCAGUUCUCUGGUAGGUGGACCAGAGGAAGCGUUAUAAAAGGUUAGAGUAUGAUGAGAGGCCCCAAAUCCGACGUGGAAAAUCUUAUGAUCAGGGACCAUAAUAAGAGUAGCAAUUGGUCACCAACCUAUAUAUCUUUACUGGCUUAGAAGCUGCAUUUCUUGUCUUGUUUUAUCCUCAGAGCAAGCCCUAACACUAAUAUAAUUAUUAGUAUUGCUGUUUUGAUGAUAAGCAGCAGAGUACCUCUGCUUUCUUACUAAAAUCCUGCUAGGGAAGUAUCUAUAUGCCUGUAAAUAUUUCCUUCUGGGAAUCUGAAUUGAUAAAAGCAAUAAAAUGGCUAAGUGAAUUUUGUUCUUAAAACAACAUGUAUCUUCUUAGCGUACGAUACUGUUGUGUGAAAAGUACCCAGCACACUGCUUAGUACAGUGACUGGUACUCAAAACAUGAAAGCCAUUAUGAUUGUAUUUAUACUUGAAAAUGAAAUUUUUGUUACACGCACACUCUAAAGAAUAUUUUUCUAUUAUUUGAUGUCAAGUACUGCUUUAGCGGCUCAGUUUCCUGUAGAAGCUUAUGAUGACGGAGAUCUUAUUAGUAUCAGAAGACUGAUACAUCUUUAAGAGGCUAUUGUGGUUUCACAUCUGCGUACAUGGGUUGGAAAAUGGAUGCUAUGUUUAUGGAUACUAUGCCUGAAGAAGUUAUCUGAACUUAUCUAACUCUAUCUAGAGUGAGAGGGUUGGAAUAGAAGAUAGUUAAAAGUCCCUUUCAGUACUAAGAGUCUAAGAAAUUUCCUUUCUCCAUUCAAUCUUCAUGAAAUACAGAGGUUAAGAACAUAAUCCCCUUUAUGCUACAUAUCACUCUUCAGUUUUAACAUCACCCCAGAAGCAUAUAAAUUUUCUUUAAAUGGCAAACAUUAUGGCCAAAGCCUCAUUUUAAGCUAAGACAUGUAUUGUUAAUUUCACCUGUAAUUAUUAGUGUAGAAAAUUUGUUUGUUUGACAAUGCAAUAGCUAAUAGUAUUAAAUGGGAAAAGACAUGUAUGGUUGAAAGUAUACAAACAGAAACAGAAAAUAAGCUUUUAAAUUAAAAAAAAAUCACCUUAAGAAAAAUACUUGUAAAAAACCCAAACCCAUCAAAAAUUAUUCUGAUUAUUCAAAAUAGUUUGACUUCACUAUACAAAACAAUUCAGUAUUUGUGUGUGUGUGUGGGGGGGGGAGUGAGUUAGAAAAUGUUGGUAAUUUGAUAGCCAUUUUCAGAGAGUUUCUCAGACACCAUGUUGUAGGCUUAUACCUCUAUACGUAUAUAUGACCUUACGUUAAAACUCUAAAAUUCUGAGCAUCCAGUGGGAAAAAACUUGCUCUAGUCCAGUGGUAUAUUAUAAACAUGAUUUUUGUCCAUCCUUUUUUUCAAGGUAUGCACAAAUAUUUAAUUUUCAAUGAGCUAAUAAUAUAUCCCUUAUAUUAUUUCUUUUACCAUGAUAUUACUUAAGUGUACUGUUUGGCAUAUUUAUUAUGUAUUUUAAAUUCCUAACUAUCACUACAUAUUGAAAAAGUCUGCAAGAAAUCUCUGCUAGAGGAACGUGGAGAAUUAAGGCCGUUUGCAAUUGACUUGGCACUUUGUAGAGCCCCUCCUUCUUUCUUUCCUUUCUUACUAUUUUUAGAUAAGUCACUUGACUACAUGCCUUCUGUGAAACCCUUGUUCAUUCCAUUUAACAUAUUUUAGUUUUGUGCACUGAACUAUGGUCAUGUUUCUUUUUUGUGUGUUAGGACCUAGCAAACCCAAAGAAACUUUCUGAACUUCUGGACUCUUGUGCGGCCCUCUGUUGGGAGGUAAUUAGAUCAUUAUGUAGUACACUAACAGAUUGAGUGUUUUCAUUCCCACACCAGCCCUCAGUCCCCACCUGUCAGCUGGGGAGAGACAAUCUCAUAAACCUGCCAAUACUAUGAUUUAGCUGAAUACAUGUUUGUUAAUAAAUCUUUCAUCAUAUUAUAAUCAAAGAACUCUUUCAGUUUAUGAUCCACCUAAUGAAGGAUUUGGGGUGUCUGCUCAUCAAUUUGAUGUUUGUAAAGACAAAGCUAACGGGUGUCAUUAGCGUAUAUUUACCCCUUGGCUCAGGUGAAGAGUGGAACAGGGAAGGUGGAAAAGGAAAUGAGAGAAAAUGUUAAUUAAAAAUAAACUCAUGGUGUCAGCCACAUACCUGUUACCUUGAAAAGUAAUGUCUUGCGAGAAAAAUCAAAUGUUUUGAUGUCUUUUAAAGUCUACUGAGCCACUAGGAUCUACAGCCAUUCUUUAUCAAAUGCCUUUCUCAAUGAUUUCACUGCCACCAUUAUCAUGCAAAGAAUUUGAUGUGGUUCUCUCCAUAGGGGAGUGUAAUUAUUAAUAUGGUGUGAGCGAAGUCUAGGACUUGCUAAGGCUUGCAGCCAUGCCAGGUACAAUAAUGAAAACUUGUACUGCCUUUUUUGAUAUCAAUGCUUUGUGUUCAGGUUUCAGUUUCACAGUUUCUUUGUGGUUAAAAUUAAAAUAAACUGAAAUAUUCUCCUGGUUAUCUUUCUUAAGGCAUUUAGGGUAGAUAUAAUGAUUGUAGUCCUGGUAUCUUUUAGGUAGAACACUGCAUACUCUAACCUCCCUGCCCCCCACUGAAAUAUGCCAAAGGUUUUAAUGACUGAAAAACAAAUAGAACGGGAUAUAUCAUUUUCUAAAGCUAUAAAGUAGUUUGUAACUUCUGCUGAAAACUCUUUAAAAUUAUACCCACCAUCUGCAUGAUGAAUUUCUCAUGGUGUUCUCUGCCCUGUCAAAACUUCUCUCUGUGGCCCAGUUCUUAGCUGCCAUUGACUGGGAUCCAGACAAAUAAAUCUAGGGAGAGAGACAGUACACUGACCUUGGUUUCCUAUGUGUUUCCUUCCAACUCUAGAGCAAGUUAUAUUUCAGCUCCACAAUCAACAAAUAGCUCUGAAAACCAAAUAGGCCACGCUGUUGGAAGUCAGAGUGAACGAGGUCAAAUAGAAGCCUCAACUGGCUGGAUAUAAAGUCUUCUCAACUCCUUUGUGGAAAUUUCCAGGCUUCACAUUCAUUCAUCAGGAUAUCCUCUUUGCACACACUUACCAUUAAAAUCUUUGGGCUGCUGCAGACUCCACCUGAAGAUGACACAGCUGUACCAGUGCUUCCAGCUGAUGGCUCUGUCCCUUUGCUGAGUCCCAUUCCUGUGAGGAUUUAGUCCAGCUGGGAGAAAAGGCAAUGCCCUGCUGCUACUUGGAGAGAAGUUUCUGAAGGACUGUCAGAUUCUCAUUUGGCUCCACCCUGGCAAAGCUUUCAGCAGAGGCCAAGGAUGAAGGCCCUGAAUCAGUCAGGAAAGGCACUGAGGGCCCAGAGCUCUUACUGUGAUGUCCUAGAAAGGAUCAGAAAGAGGAAAGCCUGUGAGAGUUUUCUCUGGAAAUGUCCCUCACCCACCACCCCAGGAAGGAGAGCAAUGGCUGCAUCCUUGGCACAUCACAAAUGCUCGUUGAUAACAUCUAUGUGACUCAACACUGGACAUCAGCAAUUUACAGAUAUGUUUAAAGGACCAACAGAGCGAGCACACAGCCAUUAGAAUCACCUUUCUUUCCAUCAAGUCUCAGGAUGUGCCUCCUUCCAAAACAUGAGCUGGACACAGUGGACAUGGAUAAUUACUCCUGUGAUACCAGCAGACAUAUGGUCUUGUGGCAACACUUGAGCUCACUGAGCCCAGAUCAAAGUGUGUGUCUUCCCAGUCUACCACAUCCCUUAGAUCAGAGUUGCUCUCAAGAGACGGGGUGAGUGUUUAAUAUAAAAUGAACAUAAGAACAAGAUGGCUAAUCUGUUCCUGGACUUUUCUGAGACCAGAAAGAAGGUGAUACAGAUGGCCCUGUGGAGACAUCAGCCACACUUGUCAUUUGGGUGUGUGCUUUAUGCUGCCUCCAAAUAUAGAUGAGCUUUGAUGUUUCUUCUGAAAAAAAUAUCUUCUUGGGAGUGUAACUGGGCCAACAAGCACGAGAGUGGCCCUGAACCAGGCUUUGUUCUGAGAUAGAAAUGGACCGUGAAAGUCCCAGCUAAAUGAUGCUGUAAACAUUCAGAGAAAGGGAGAAGAUACUUGCUCCAGUGAGUUAACUCUGGCUGUGAAACAAUUUCAACUCACCCACUCUUAAAGCAGCGGGCCCCUCUGAGUCUGCCAGUGGUUUACACAACGGCCUGAUUCCGCAGAGUAGAGAGUCACCCGGAGAAACAGAGCUCACAAACUCAUCUCUUUAAGAUGUGGUUUGCUGAGGGCUUCCCUGCCUGUGUUUUCAUGGUUAGCGACAAGACUGGGGAAGCCUAUCCAUGAUUGAGUAAUCUGUUUGAACUUCCAGCUCGGAGAUGGAGGAAACAGCUAUUCAUUUAAUCCUAUUCAUUUAUUCAUCUAUUCGUACAUUUAUUUAUUUAUAAGAUAUGUUUAAAGUGCUUGUUCCGUGUCACUUUAUUUUAGCCAUGGGGGACACAGAGUUAAAUAAGACAUAAGUUGCAGUGAGCUAACAGGCUGGUGGAGGAAACAAAGAUACAGGAGAUCACAACAAAGUGCAACAUAUUCUGUGAUAUUAAAAGCAGAGAAAUGGCUCACAAAGCUUUCUGUCCUAGAGAAUCGGUGAAGGCUUCUCAGAGGCAUUGGUACGGGAGGUGAGGCCGAGCUAACCAGAUCCUUUUGUGGCCACUGGGUAUGUUCAGGGAAGGAGAAAAGUCAACGGAGUCCUGUUUUUUAGGUACCUGGUAGGGCUUCAUCUUGCAUGUUUUUAGAGGAGUACUUCUUCAGAGUAUAUACCUUGAGACAGCUGCCUGUUUGUAGACAUCCCAGUUUAUAUCAGACACCGUAGGUGGCAAUUUUAUGUCAGUUAUUUUGAUUUCUUACAGCAACCCUGUAUACUCAAGACCAUUAUUCAGUUUUCAAAAUGGUCCAAGGUCAGGAUGGAUAAAUACCUCACCCCAAUGUACACACAGGGUAUGUUUCAUCUCGGAGGCACAGAAAGCACUCAGGAGCAGAGAACCUGUGAGCAAGCACACACUGCCUGCGGGAGCCUGGCUGAGCCUGAGUCCCGCCCGUUCUCCUGUCAGGGCCAUUGUGAGCCUCUCAUCAUCAGAGCUCAGAUGGGCACCUGCUUAUCUACGGACUCGCUACCUCCUCUCCCUGCAGCCCUACCCCCACCAGUUUCAGUUUUGAUUUAGCUCUUUGUUCCAACCCUGACUGUAACAUAUGGCCUAGGCCAGGAGGAGGCUUCUGCCACUCACAGGCCAAAAAGCCUUGAUGCCUCUCCGCUAUGAAGUUCUUUUCAAAGUAUGUGGGAAAGCAUCGUCGUCCUCUUCUCGCCCACCUCUCUCCCCACGCAUCCCCACACAUACCAUCUUUUAGGCAAAGCACAGCAGCCAAUGGGAGUGGGGACUAGGCAGCCCAGAAGUAGGCUUCAGCUACAACUUCUCUCUGGUUGUUUCUUUGAGUCACAAAUAAAACUAUGUCUCAUUGACCUCUUGCUUCUCAAAGGCAGAGUGGAUAUUGUUUGUAGCUCAUUUUCUCCAGGCAGUUUUAGCAAAGUAUGCUUUCAGAGAUAUCAUGUAACUGAAAGACAGAAUUAAGUAAGAAUGGCAGAAUUCUGGCAGCAAGUAGCCUCCUGCUCGUGUUUUUCAUUGAAAAGCAUAUAGGAUUACCUUAUUGUUCCAGAUAUUAGCUUUCUGUACCCAGCAUAUACAUAUUUAAACAGCAUAACAAAUGGGCUACAUUAUAAAGCACCUAUAUGUCACCAAGGCCCAGAAAGCCUGUGUUGUGCCAAGGCCUGGAGACAUCCUUCCAAGUUUCCUCGCAUCUGAGAGGCAGAUUGUCUCAGUGCUUGGGGUGGGCCAGCCAGCCUGAGUUUAAUAGCAAACAUUCUUAGGGUUUUUUUUUUUCCAGAUCCGUGUAUAAAACAACUUUCAUUUGAAUGUGACAUCUGCCUGCAAAGGAGCAAAUCCCCAGCACCACUGGUACAUCCUGCCAGGCCAAAAACUGGAGAGGCUCUAUUUGGGUUUUUCUUCAAACGCUGUGGCUCCGGCUCCAGACCGUACCCAUGCCUGCUCUAGAGAACGUUAUCAACCUGUGGUUCAGGGUUAAGGGUUGGGGUUGGGGUAUUGUUAGUGUUUUCAUCACCAGCUGCAAUGCACAGUCUGACAAUCACCAUGCCCGCAGAUCAAAGGCAAGGGGAGGUGUUAUCUGCUGCCAGCUGUGCUGUGACUCUAAGCACAUUUCUGGUGAGCUGACCCCAAGGUGAGUUGCCGGGGGAGGCCGUUCUCCAGCGGAUGACUGGGCGUGGGCUCAUGUAGGAUGGUGCUCUAAGGACAAAUCCUCUGUCCUUUCCUUUUGGGUAGUUCCGCCGUGCCUAGCCAUAAACGCAUGGGAUGUUUUUGGAACUGGUGUUCGAUUGCCAUGGGGAGAAGCAUGUCAGUUUGUAGGAAGAUUGGCCUGGUGGAAGUGACGCACCCUGAAUCAUCACCCAAGGUCUGCCACUGGUUUGCCUUCUGACUUGGGAUGAGACCCAAGCUCCCUCCAAUCACACUGACCCCUCACCCGGUCCCGUCACAGAGCGUGGCCCCUCCCAAUUCUGCUUUUCACCCGGUGCACUCACUAGUGGGAUAUUUCGCUUUAUAUUCCUUGCAGAGCACAUUGAGCCUUUGUCCCCAGGACUUGUCCUACAUACUUCUCCUUUAGGAUUGAUGAGCAUUUUCUUAUUCCCUUAAAAGAGAAAUCUGUCCCUUCCUCUGCGCUCCCAUUGUUGCACAUAUCUGCUGGAGAGUUUACUGCCGGGCAUUGUUUAUGUGUCUGUCACUGUCAGAUGUGAGCACCUCGAGGGUGACCUAUUCACUCUGUUCUCCAGAUGCCUAUUAUGGCACCUGGCAAGCAGAGCUGAGGAGAUGUUAGGUGAAUGAAUGCAUGCAUAAGAGAGCAGGCGGAUGAAAGAGACGAAGUAUUCUCUGCAUCCUUAGAAAGAAAGCAUUUCCUUUGGAUAUAGGCAGGAGGAAAUUUCUGCAGGAGGAAAUGUUUCCUGAUCUUCUGGUUGCUCCCAUUUUUUCCAUCAUGUCUACAGUUGCUAGAGGGGGAAAUCUGCUCUCUCAAGUUACUAUCUUCCCUCUCUCUCAUAUUCAUACUCGUGGUUCAAGCCCUGUUAACCUUCACCUUUGUUAAAGCGUGAAGUUUCUUACCAGAAAAUGCUCUGAUCCCUCUCAAAUCAUAAUGUCUAGCUUCUUCUGACAAUUUCUGAUAAGCCAUCGCUCUUCUCUCUGUACAAAAUAUAUUUCUUAUGCUACCCAGAUCCAUGCAACUUUGCUAGUCCUCGCUCUGGGUCUUAGCCAUUUGUAUCCUACAGACUAAAAGAUCUGAGCAUGGUUUUGAGCUAGUCCCAUAGUUACGAUGCCAUGUUGCUGCAGCUGCUGGUUGAGGAGUCUUAUAUAAUAUGUGACUGACAAAGGGAGACUGACUAGAUGCCUAAGGGCUCUGAUCCAAGGAAGCCUGAUGACAUAAUCUAGGAGUUAAUAGAUUUUUACCAGUGGGAGGCAGGGACAGGAGAAAGUCAUUGGAGAAAGUAUUCACCCUUCCUCAACCCCAUGUAGUCUUCUGAGGACAGGUAGUUCAUACUGUGCAUGUCUCUUUCUCGAGAUGAUGUGAGAAAAAGAAAAACCGCCCAUGUUUUCUCAUGAGGCUGUGCCCAAAUGGGCAAUGCACCCCCUCAUCUUUGCAUUUGUUCCUCCUGCAGCUUCCCUUCUUAUUUCUGUUCUGGUGCUCUGGGCUGCUCUCCCAAGCGUUAGCAAAUAAGCUUUUCCCUCAGUCUCUGUUUUUGACAGACCCUGGGCUAAGACAACUCCUUGGCCAACUCAGGUUAGUUUGACCUCCUUUGUGUUCCCAUAACAUGGGGGGGUGCAUAUAUAUCUCAUUUCCACAUGACAUCACAAUUAUCUCUUUAUGUGUCUCUUUCUUUUUCUGGAUUAUAUAUCUCUUAAAGUCAGAGACUACAUUGUACUUAUUUUUGAAUCUCUGGCACCUAGCACAGUGCCUGGCAUAAAUUAGACUCUGAAAAUAGUAAAUAUUUGCCGGAUGACUGACUGUAAAAGAGAGCUAGAUUUCCUCUGAUCAGGGAGAGAUUCCAGCAGACCUAAGAAAUAUUUUAAACGGUUCACCAUCUCAAUGUGUGGUCUCUUUUGGCUUCACCUAAAUUGAGUCAGGGAUGCUGCUAGUAAUUACAUCACACUAUAAGAUUAUAGCUAUAUCCAGGAAUAAUGAUAAUAAUUACUACAAUAUGCUUGGCACCUACAUAUUACCAUGCUGUUAGAUAUUUCACAUACAUAAUCUCAUUAUUGCAGCAAACAUAUUAGGUUGUUAUCACAUACUUGGGACUUUGGGGAUAUGUAGCUGGACAAGUGGCCCUGACAAGACAUUCCUCAGAGUAUGUUAAAGGUUGUUUUAAUUAUAGUUUUUUAAAUGGGGGUUUCCAUAGUGGUUAAUACUGUAUCUACCAGAAUCUAUGCCAAUUGGCACAUAAAUGCUCAAGGGCAGAGUGCUUUAAAAAGAAAAGAAUUUCAUUCUCAAUUAACACAAAUGUGACUUUACAGCCAACACUCUUACUCCACCUUUUGCUCAUAUGAAUGUGCAAGUUAUGUGGUGACACGAACUCAGGAUCAUAGAACUAGUCACCUCUGUCACCCUGCCUUUCCCUGGUUCCACUAAGGUUUUAGGAGUGAGCAAGAUACAACAGAGGGAGUUAUGAUCAGGACACAUUAUGGGAUAAUUAUGGGACUGAAAGUUAAGCUUCACCUGUUCUAUAAAUCUUCUCAAAUCACAUAAAUAAUUUGCAUGAGUAUUUCAAAGGUGCAAUUUUCCAGGGUAAGGGUUGUAACAAAUUCUUAAACGGACUAAGGGUCACUGAUUUUAAUUCUACUUAAACUUCCAGCUUGAGGAAGGCUAUGAAGAAUGGGAACAGAGCUCUGUGCCUCAGAGGUCCCUGUUGGACAACUGAAUUCUGAAUGACCAGGAAUCUCAGGAAGAAACUCCCCUGAUCAUUCAUGCUUUAGGCACCUGAGUUGAAGCUUAGGUAUAAAGGAACUCAUAGUAUUUGCUCUUCUGUUUCAAAACUGUGUCCUCCCUUUAGUGUGGCUCUGUUGUCAGGAUUUCAUAUUGUGAUGUAAUCCAGCACAACUUGUCCAAAACAAUAUUAGAUUUAUUCCAUUUGUUAAAAGAAGAUAUCACUAGUAUGUGGCCCUUUUGGCAAAAUCUCAACUCUUAGUUCUAGGCAUGGGUUCAAUCACCUGUUGCUAAGAUACUGCAAAAAAUAUUAUCUGUUUUUAAAUGUUGCUUUUUAAUUGAAUAUACUGCUGCUUUGAAAUAUCAGUGCAAAGGUUAAAUAGGUCUUUGAAAUCAUAUAUUCUUUUUUAACUGAGUAUUUUAAAGGGAGCAGCUGCUGUCUCAGUGAAGUUCCUUGAUGGAGUUUUAAAAUCUCACAGAAAGGAACACUCCUAGAACAACUGCAUUAUGGAUAUAGCAGAGGGAGACAAUCAGAAAUGUUCAUGCUGAAAAUGCUAGUCACAUUCGUUGAUUCUGCAUCAAAGGUAUGAAGAAAAAUGCAUACAUGGGUCCAGAAUUCCAAUUAGCAUCUCCAUUAGCUCCAUUCAAUUUUUUUUUUUGCUUUUGUUUUUGUUUUUGUUUUAUUUCAGAAUGGUAAUACAGAGCAUAUGUCCCUGUAACAGUCUGGGCCAGCACCUCAUAAUCAAAAUCAUUAAUAUUUGUUUGACAAAACAUUGUAGUGUUUAUGCUAAGUUCUCCUAUCAGUUCAGGUCCAACUCUGUGGUCAAGUAAGUUUUCUCAGACUUAGGAAAGCACUUGGGUGUGAAGAACAUUUUUGAUGUUUGUAAUGCAGAUAGGUGAUUGUGGACCAUUAAAAUGGAGAGAAACUUCAGGAUAUACAUGAUUCAGAAUAAUUUUAGUAUCAAUUUAGACCCCUAAUAGCCUGGCCUGUAGCCAGGUUGGGAGCCAGGAGUCCAGCAGGCUGUAGGGAAUGGAUUGAAUACUCCCACGAAGUCCAGACUAGGCAAAGUUAGCAGUGACCAGCAGGGAGGGACAGAGGUCUACAACCGUGGUUAACACUUGCAAGGUCUGAUAAGAAGAAGAAGCACUUAUGAACAAAACAAGUGACAUAAACUAGGAUUCAUACUAUUCUGGAAGUAUUAGAAGUGUUAUGAGAUAGUGAAUAUAGAGCCUCUAGAUUAUUCUGACACCAAUAAUAUCAUCCCUGUCUCUGUCAUUUCCUGUAUCCCUAUGGAUAUGGCAAAGGGAAGCAGAGUUACUUUAACCAAAUGAAAGGGAUUUCCCUAUGAUAACAUUGGGUGGGUGGCUAGUGAGAUGGCUUUAGGAGAGUAUUUUUGACAGGAGGGCCCUGUGCAUCUAUGAGAGUAAAUUGUGGACUGCCCAGGGAGUACUACCUCCCUGGGGAGUAAGACGGAUUGUCUUACAUUGGAAUCACAUUAUUGUAAUGACCUAGGGAUCUUAAACAGAACUCAGAGAGGUUGGCUGUGAUGGAGUAGAUAAAGCUCUAGUCCAAGGAACAGAAAUCCAUCCCGGUCCUCGGUCUCAGAUUUGCUUUGCCUUUAGGAAAUUAGUUACUAUCUCUGUCUUUGGUUCUUCUUCUCUAAAACAGAGACAGCAACAACCUUAAAGGGCUAUUGUAAAUAUUAAAUGAAAAAUAUAUGUAAAAGCAUCUGUUGAAUAAUAUACACUCAAAUACAUGUGGAUGUUUUAGAAAUUCUGUUACCUGGAGAGUCAGUAUAAUGAAAGUUAAAAAUAUCAUUCUAUGAUAGACUAGAUUUUUUGAUGUUAGGAUAGGGAGAUAUGUUAGUGUAAUCAUCUGCAAAGUCAUUAGAUCAAGAAUUACUUUAGUUGUCAUCUGGAAUAUAACACUGAAAAAUAUUAAAAACUCUACUUCAAUAUGUAUUUAUUAAGCAACAUCUUCAUCUUCAUUGUUUUGUUUUGUUUCGUUUAUUUUUACAAAGUAGAGUGUUAUCUAGACCCUCUGUGACUAGGAACUACACAAAGUCAAAUCCACUCAAAGUAACCCUAUAUAUUCACUUAAUUAUUAGAGCAAAACCAUCUAAAUAUAACCCCACAAUGAUUCACAGUGAACUAAAGAAUUAAGAGACAAUAAUUAAGUCAGCAAGUACAACCCUAUGGUUCCAGUUUAACAAAGGAAUGGGAAUGGGCGAAAGGAGUAGAACUUAAUUCUUAUCUACCAUGACAGGAAAAUGAGAGAUAGUAUCUAAGACAGGUGGGACAAGAGACCAAUUACAGGUAUGUUGUUAAAUGCCUGAAGAAAUAGUUCUAGAAGGAGUUGGCUGUGAAUUGAGGAAAAGGAUAUAGGGGAAUGUAUAAUGUAUAUACAUAGAUAUCAAUAUGUACAUACAUAUCACACAUGUACGUACAUUUUAUACUUUUUAACA
Long non-coding RNA from Felis catus (domestic cat), 12824 nucleotides. RefSeq lists it as uncharacterized. Lineage: Eukaryota; Metazoa; Chordata; Mammalia; Carnivora; Felidae. The transcript is spliced from 5 exons. The record is from RefSeq and is a predicted model, not a curated record.